Molecule: ribosomal RNA, 465 nt
Filed under: uncultured bacterium
Lineage: Bacteria
Description: partial 16S ribosomal RNA
Rfam family: Bacterial small subunit ribosomal RNA
Source: RNAcentral
GACGAACGCUGGCGGCGUGCUUAACACAUGCAAGUCGAACGGAAAGGCCCUGCUUGCAGGGUACUCGAGUGGCGAACGGGUGAGUAACACGUGGGUGAUCUGCCCUGCACUUCGGGAUAAGCAUGGGAAACUGGGUCUAAUACCGGAUAUGACAUUUCAUGUAGUGUGGGGGGUGGAAAGAUUAAGCGGUGUGGGUUGAGCGCGCGGCCUAUUAGCUUGUUGGUGGGGUAAUGGCCUACCAAGGCGUCGACGGGUGGCCGGCCUGAGAGGGUGGACGGCCACAUUGGGACUGAGAUACGGCCCAGACUCCUACGUGGGGCAGCAGUGGGGAAUAUUGCACAAUGGGCGGAAGCCUUAUGCAGCGACGCCGCGUGCGGGAUGACGUCCUUCGGGUUGUAAACCUCUUUCGACAGGGACGAAGCUUCGGUGACGGUACCUGUAUAAGAAGCACCGGCUAACUACGUG